AGUGAAUAGAUACCCAGGUAGUCCACGCCCUAAACUAUGGAUACUCGACAUUUGCGAUAAAACUGUAAAGUGUCUGAGCGAAAGCAUUAAGUAUCCCACCUGGGAAGUACGAUCGCAAGAUUGAAACUCAAAGGAAUUGGCGGGGGUCGGCACAAGCGGUGGAGCAUGUGGUUUAAUUACGAUGAUACGCGAGGAACCUUACCUGGGCGUAGAAUGCUGGGAGACCGUGAGUGAAAGCUCAUUUGUUAGCAAUACACUGCCAGUAAGGUGCUGCAUGGCUGUCGUCAGUUCGUGCCGUGAGGUGUUGGG
This 309-nucleotide ribosomal RNA is filed under the name uncultured bacterium. RNAcentral's name for it is "bacterial SSU rRNA". It matches the Rfam family "Bacterial small subunit ribosomal RNA", at positions 773 to 1079 of the family's 1533-position model. The record is from RNAcentral.